This 1343-nucleotide ribosomal RNA is filed under the name uncultured bacterium. RNAcentral's name for it is "16S ribosomal RNA". It matches the Rfam family "Bacterial small subunit ribosomal RNA", at positions 28 to 1378 of the family's 1533-position model. The record is from RNAcentral.
GACGAACGCUGGCGGCGUGCUUAACACAUGCAAGUCGAACGGAAAGGCCCUGCUUUUGUGGGGUGCUCGAGUGGCGAACGGGUGAGUAACACGUGAGUAACCUGCCCUUGACUUUGGGAUAACUUCAGGAAACUGGGGCUAAUACCGGAUAGGAGCUCCUGCUGCAUGGUGGGGGUUGGAAAGUUUCGGCGGUUGGGGAUGGACUCGCGGCUUAUCAGCUUGUUGGUGAGGUAGUGGCUUACCAAGGCUUUGACGGGUAGCCGGCCUGAGAGGGUGACCGGCCACAUUGGGACUGAGAUACGGCCCAGACUCCUACGGGAGGCAGCAGUGGGGAAUAUUGCACAAUGGGCGGAAGCCUGAUGCAGCAACGCCGCGUGCGGGAUGACGGCCUUCGGGUUGUAAACCGCUUUCGCCUGUGACGAAGCGUGAGUGACGGUAAUGGGUAAAGAAGCACCGGCUAACUACGUGCCAGCAGCCGCGGUGAUACGUAGGGUGCGAGCGUUGUCCGGAUUUAUUGGGCGUAAAGGGCUCGUAGGUGGUUGAUCGCGUCGGAAGUGUAAUCUUGGGGCUUAACCCUGAGCGUGCUUUCGAUACGGGUUGACUUGAGGAAGGUAGGGGAGAAUGGAAUUCCUGGUGGAGCGGUGGAAUGCGCAGAUAUCAGGAGGAACACCAGUGGCGAAGGCGGUUCUCUGGGCCUUUCCUGACGCUGAGGAGCGAAAGCGUGGGGAGCGAACAGGCUUAGAUACCCUGGUAGUCCACGCUGUAAACGGUGGGUACUAGGUGUGGGGUCCAUUCCACGGGUUCCGUGCCGUAGCUAACGCUUUAAGUACCCCGCCUGGGGAGUACGGCCGCAAGGCUAAAACUCAAAGGAAUUGACGGGGCCCCGCACAAGCGGCGGAGCAUGCGGAUUAAUUCGAUGCAACGCGUAGAACCUUACCUGGGUUUGACAUGGAUCGGGAGCGCUCAGAGAUGGGUGUGCCUCUUUUGGGGUCGGUUCACAGGUGGUGCAUGGCUGUCGUCAGCUCGUGUCGUGAGAUGUUGGGUUAAGUCCCGCAACGAGCGCAACCCUUGUUCACUGUUGCCAGCACGUUAUGGUGGGGACUCAGUGGAGACCGCCGGGGUCAACUCGGAGGAAGGUGGGGAUGACGUCAAGUCAUCAUGCCCCUUAUGUCCAGGGCUUCACGCAUGCUACAAUGGCUGGUACAGAGAGUGGCGAGCCUGUGAGGGUGAACGAAUCUCGGAAAGCCGGUCUCAGUUCGGAUUGGGGUCUGCAACUCGACCUCAUGAAGUCGGAGUCGCUAGUAAUCGCAGAUCAGCAACGCUGCGGUGAAUACGUUCCCGGG